UGAGUAACACGUGGACAAUCCUGCCCCCCGGCCCGGGAUAGCCCAGGGAAACCUGGAUUAAUACCGGAUGAGACGGGACCGCGAAGGCGGGACCCGGGAAAGGCGCUGCGGCGCCGCCGGGGGAUGAGUCUGCGUCCCAUUAGCUAGACGGCGGGGUAACGGCCCACCGUGGCGACGAUGGGUAGCCGGCCUGAGAGGGUGGACGGCCACAUUGGAACUGAGACACGGUCCAGACUCCUACGGGAGGCAGCAGCUAAGAAUCUUCCGCAAUGGGCGAAAGCCUGACGGAGCGACGCCGCGUGAACGAAGAAGGCCGUGAGGUUGUAAAGUUCUUUUCGGGAGAGGGAACAACCGUGGCAGGGAAUGGCCGCGGGAUGACGUGAAUCCCGGAAUAAGCCCCGGCUAACUACGUGCCAGCAGCUGC
This 424-nucleotide ribosomal RNA is filed under the name uncultured bacterium. RNAcentral describes it as "bacterial SSU rRNA". It matches the Rfam family "Bacterial small subunit ribosomal RNA", at positions 107 to 518 of the family's 1533-position model. The record is from RNAcentral.